GAUGAACGCUGGCGGCGUGGAUAAGGCAUGCAAGUCGGGCGAGAGAAAUUCCGUCGGGAAGGACUCUAGCGGCGGACGGGUGAGUAACACGUGGGUAACCUGCCUCAUAGAGGGGAAUAGCCUUUCGAAAGGAAGAUUAAUACCGCAUAAGAUUGUAGUAUCGCAUGAUGCAGCAAUUAAAGGAGUAAUCCGCUAUGAGAUGGACCCGCGUCGCAUUAGCUAGUUGGUGAGGUAACGGCUCACCAAGGCGACGAUGCGUAGCCGACCUGAGAGGGUGAUCGGCCACAGUGGGACUGAGACACGGCCCAGACUCCUACGGGAGGCAGCAGUGGGGAAUAUUGCACAAUGGGGGAAACCCUGAUGCAGCAACGCCGCGUGAGUGAUGACGGUCUUCGGAUUGUAAAACUCUGUCUUCAGGGACGAUAAUGACGGUACCUGAGGAGGAAGCCACGGCUAACUACGUGCCAGCAGCCGCUGUAA
Molecule: ribosomal RNA, 480 nt
Filed under: uncultured bacterium
Lineage: Bacteria
Description: partial 16S ribosomal RNA
Rfam family: Bacterial small subunit ribosomal RNA
Source: RNAcentral